ACGAACGCUGGCGGCGUGCUUAACACAUGCAAGUCGAACGGAAAGGCCCUGCUUUUGUGGGGUGCUCGAGUGGCGAACGGGUGAGUAACACGUGAGUAACCUGCCCUUGACUUUGGGAUAACUUCAGGAAACUGGGGCUAAUACCGGAUAGGAGCUCCUGCUGCAUGGUGGGGGUUGGAAAGUUUCGGCGGUUGGGGAUGGACUCGCGGCUUAUCAGCUUGUUGGUGGGGUAGUGGCUUACCAAGGCUUUGACGGGUAGCCGGCCUGAGAGGGUGACCGGCCACAUUGGGACUGAGAUACGGCCCAGACCCCUACGGGAGGCAGCAGUGGGGAAUAUUGCACAAUGGGCGGAAGCCUGAUGCAGCAACGCCGCGUGCGGGAUGACGGCCUUCGGGUUGUAAACCGCUUUCGCCUGUGACGAAGCGUGAGUGACGGUAAUGGGUAAAGGAGCACCGGCUAACUACGUG
Molecule: ribosomal RNA, 467 nt
Filed under: uncultured bacterium
Lineage: Bacteria
Description: partial 16S ribosomal RNA
Rfam family: Bacterial small subunit ribosomal RNA
Source: RNAcentral